Molecule: ribosomal RNA, 253 nt
Filed under: uncultured bacterium
Lineage: Bacteria
Description: partial 16S ribosomal RNA
Rfam family: Bacterial small subunit ribosomal RNA
Source: RNAcentral
UACGGAGGAUGCGAGCGUUAUCCGGAUUUACUGGGUGUAAAGGGAGCGUAGGCGGCGCGUUAAGUCUGAUGUGAAAACCCGAGGCUCAACCACGGGAGUGCAUUGGAAACUGGCGAGCUGGAGUGCCGGAGAGGUAAGCGGAAUUCCUAGUGUAGCGGUGAAAUGCGUAGAUAUUAGGAGGAACACCAGUGGCGAAGGCGGCUUACUGGACGGCAACUGACGCUGAGGCUCGAAAGCGUGGGGAGCAAACAGG